ACUUAUUCUCAGGGCGGGGUGGAAGUCCCCACCGGCGGUAUUCCAAUAUAAGUUGGAGAGCCCGCGAGCGCUCCCGAGGGGUUCGGGAGGUCAAGCAGAUCCGGUGAAAGGCCGGAGCCGACGGUAACAGUCCGGAUGGAAGAGGAUAAGG
RNAcentral lists this non-coding RNA (151 nucleotides) under Desulfatibacillum alkenivorans. Its description in RNAcentral is "FMN sequence". It matches the Rfam family "FMN riboswitch aptamer (RFN element)". From Rfam's summary of the family: The RFN element is a highly conserved domain that is found frequently in the 5'-untranslated regions of prokaryotic mRNAs that encode for flavin mononucleotide (FMN) biosynthesis and transport proteins. This element is a metabolite-dependent riboswitch that directly binds FMN in the absence of proteins. RNAcentral also lists the same sequence under 1 other name. Lineage: Bacteria; Pseudomonadati; Thermodesulfobacteriota; Desulfobacteria; Desulfobacterales; Desulfatibacillaceae. The record is from RNAcentral.